Molecule: ribosomal RNA, 354 nt
Filed under: Trocheta kesirvenensis
Lineage: Eukaryota; Metazoa; Annelida; Clitellata; Hirudinida; Erpobdellidae
Description: partial 12S ribosomal RNA
Source: RNAcentral
GAUUGGGGACUACGAACAAUGGUUUAAAAACCCAAGAAUUUGGCGGUGUCUUAUUUAAUCAGGGGAAUCUGUCUCGUAAUCGACAGCCCACGAAAAAUCGACCUUUAUUCUUGAAUAAUUUCAGUUUGUGUACUGCCGUCCAAUGGGCCCCUGAAGUUCCUCAUAAUAAAUUUUUAUAAAUUUUACGUCAGGUCAAAGUGCAGCUAAUGAAAAGGAGAAGAUGGAUUACAAUUUAUAACAUAACUAAUCUUACAUUAUAGUAAUGUAAUAAAGAGAACUUGAUAGUAAUUUUACCGAAAAGAUAAAAUGAAACUAGAACCUAAGACAAGCACACAUCGCCCGUCGCUCUUAUUA